CCUACGGGGUGCAGCAGUAGGGAAUCUUCCACAAUGGGCGAAAGCCUGAUGGAGCAACGCCGCGUGGGUGAAGAAGGCCUUCGGAUCGUAAAACCCUGUUGUUAGAGAAGAAAGUGCGCGAGAGUAACUGUUUACGUUUCGAUGGUAUCUAACCAGAAAGUCACGGCUAACUACGUGCCAGCAGCCGCGGUAAUACGUAGGUGGCAAGCGUUAUCCGGAUUUAUUGGGCGUAAAGGGAGCGCAGGCGGUCUUUUAAGUCUGAUGUGAAAGCCUUCGGCUUAACCGGAGUAGUGCUUUGGAAACUGGGGGACUUGAGUGCAGAAGAGGGGAGUGGAACGCCAUGUGUAGCGGUGAAAUGCGUAGAUAUAUGGAAGAACACCAGUGGCGAAGGCGGCUCUCUGGUCUGUAACUGACGCUGAGGUUCGAAAGCGUGGGUAGCAAACAGGAUUAGAUACCCCGGUAGUC
RNAcentral lists this ribosomal RNA (465 nucleotides) under uncultured bacterium. RNAcentral's name for it is "partial 16S ribosomal RNA". It matches the Rfam family "Bacterial small subunit ribosomal RNA", at positions 338 to 795 of the family's 1533-position model. The record is from RNAcentral.